CCUUCCGUAGUUCAGUCGCAGGUAAACGGCGGACGUUAAUCCGGGUAUGUCACUGGUUCGAGUCCAGUCAGAGGAGCCA
This 79-nucleotide transfer RNA is filed under the name Salmonella enterica subsp. enterica. Its description in RNAcentral is "tRNA-OTHER". The record is from RNAcentral. Lineage: Bacteria; Pseudomonadati; Pseudomonadota; Gammaproteobacteria; Enterobacterales; Enterobacteriaceae.